UCAAGUGAAGAAGCGCAUACGGUGGAUGCCUUGGCAGUCAGAGGCGAUGAAAGACGUGGUAGCCUGCGAAAAGCUUCGGGGAGUCGGCAAACAGGCUGUGAUCCGGAGAUGUCUGAAUGGGGGAACCCAGCCAUCAUAAGAUGGUUAUCUUGUACUGAAUACAUAGGUGCAAGAAGCGAACCAGGGGAACUGAAACAUCUAAGUACCCUGAGGAAAAGAAAUCAACCGAGAUUCCCUUAGUAGUGGCGAGCGAACGGGGACCAGCNCAAGAAGCGAACCAGGGGAACUGAAACAUCUAAGUACCCUGAGGAAAAGAAAUCAACCGAGAUUCCCUUAGUAGUGGCGAGCGAACGGGGACCAGCCCUUAAGUUGUAUUGAGAUUAGCGGAACGUUCUGGAAAGGACGGCCAUAGUGGGUGAUAGCCCUGUACGCGAAAAUCCCUUUGCAAUGAAAUCGAGUAGGACGGGGCACGAGAAACCUUGUCUGAAUAUGGGGGGACCAUCCUCCAAGGCUAAAUACUACUGACUGACCGAUAGUGAACCAGUACCGUGAGGGAAAGGCGAAAAGAACCGCGGAGAGCGGAGUGAAAUAGAUCCUGAAACCGUAUGCGUACAAGCAGUGGGAGCCCACUUUGUUGGGUGACUGCGUACCUUUUGUAUAAUGGGUCAGCGACUUAUUUUCAGUGGCGAGCUUAACCGAAUAGGGGAGGCGUAGCGAAAGCGAGUCUUAAUAGGGCGUCUAGUCGCUGGGAAUAGACCCGAAACCGGGCGAUCUAUCCAUGGGCAGGUUGAAGGUUGGGUAACACUAACUGGAGGACCGAACCGACUACCGUUGAAAAGUUAGCGGAUGACCUGUGGAUCGGAGUGAAAGGCUAAUCAAGCUCGGAGAUAGCUGGUUCUCCUCGAAAGCUAUUUAGGUAGCGCCUCAUGUAUCACUGUAGGGGGUAGAGCACUGUUUCGGCUAGGGGGUCAUCCCGACUUACCAAACCGAUGCAAACUCCGAAUACCUACAAGUGCCGAGCAUGGGAGACACACGGCGGGUGCUAACGUCCGUCGUGAAAAGGGAAACAACCCAGACCGUCAGCUAAGGUCCCAAAGUCAUGGUUAAGUGGGAAACGAUGUGGGAAGGCUUAGACAGCUAGGAGGUUGGCUUAGAAGCAGCCACCCUUUAAAGAAAGCGUAAUAGCUCACUAGUCGAGUCGGCCUGCGCGGAAGAUGUAACGGGGCUCAAACCAUGCACCGAAGCUACGGGUAUCAUCUUAUGAUGAUGCGGUAGAGGAGCGUUCUGUAAGCCUGUGAAGGUGAGUUGAGAAGCUUGCUGGAGGUAUCAGAAGUGCGAAUGCUGACAUGAGUAACGACAAUGGGUGUGAAAAACACCCACGCCGAAAGACCAAGGUUUCCUGCGCAACGUUAAUCGACGCAGGGUUAGUCGGUCCCUAAGGCGAGGCUGAAAAGCGUAGUCGAUGGAAAACAGGUUAAUAUUCCUGUACUUCUGGUUAUUGCGAUGGAGGGACGGAGAAGGCUAGGCCAGCCUGGCGUUGGUUGUCCAGGUUUAAGGUGGUAGGCUGAGAUCUUAGGUAAAUCCGGGAUCUUAAGGCCGAGAGCUGAUGACGAGUGUUCUUUAGAACACGAAGUGGUUGAUGCCAUGCUUCCAAGAAAAGCUUCUAAGCUUCAGGUAACCAGGAACCGUACCCCAAACCGACACAGGUGGUUGGGUAGAGAAUACCAAGGCGCUUGAGAGAACUCGGGUGAAGGAACUAGGCAAAAUGGCACCGUAACUUCGGGAGAAGGUGCGCCGGUGAGGGUGAAGCAUUUACUGCGUAAGCCCACGCCGGUCGAAGAUACCAGGCCGCUGCGACUGUUUAUUAAAAACACAGCACUCUGCAAACACGAAAGUGGACGUAUAGGGUGUGACGCCUGCCCGGUGCCGGAAGGUUAAUUGAUGGGGUUAGCGCAAGCGAAGCUCUUGAUCGAAGCCCCGGUAAACGGCGGCCGUAACUAUAACGGUCCUAAGGUAGCGAAANACGCCUGCCCGGUGCCGGAAGGUUAAUUGAUGGGGUUAGCGCAAGCGAAGCUCUUGAUCGAAGCCCCGGUAAACGGCGGCCGUAACUAUAACGGUCCUAAGGUAGCGAAAUUCCUUGUCGGGUAAGUUCCGACCUGCACGAAUGGCGUAACGAUGGCGGCGCUGUCUCCACCCGAGACUCAGUGAAAUUGAAAUCGCUGUGAAGAUGCAGUGUAUCCGCGGCUAGACGGAAAGACCCCGUGAACCUUUACUAUAGCUUUGCACUGGACUUUGAAUUUGCUUGUGUAGGAUAGGUGGGAGGCUUUGAAGCGUGGACGCCAGUCUGCGUGGAGCCAACCUUGAAAUACCACCCUGGCAACUUUGAGGUUCUAACUCAGGUCCGUUAUCCGGAUCGAGGACAGUGUAUGGUGGGUAGUUUGACUGGGGCGGUCUCCUCCUAAAGAGUAACGGAGGAGUACGAAGGUGCGCUCAGACCGGUCGGAAAUCGGUCGUAGAGUAUAAAGGCAAAAGCGCGCUUGACUGCGAGACAGACAAGUCGAGCAGGUACGAAAGUAGGUCUUAGUGAUCCGGUGGUUCUGUAUGGAAGGGCCAUCGCUCAACGGAUAAAAGGUACUCCGGGGAUAACAGGCUGAUACCGCCCAAGAGUUCAUAUCGACGGCGGUGUUUGGCACCUCGAUGUCGGCUCAUCACAUCCUGGGGCUGAAGCCGGUCCCAAGGGUAUGGCUGUUCGCCAUUUAAAGUGGUACGCGAGCUGGGUUUAGAACGUCGUGAGACAGUUCGGUCCCUAUCUGCCGUGGACGUUUGAGAUUUGAGAGGGGCUGCUCCUAGUACGAGAGGACCGGAGUGGACGAACCUCUGGUGUUCCGGUUGUCACGCCAGUGGCAUUGCCGGGUAGCUAUGUUCGGAAAAGAUAACCGCUGAAAGCAUCUAAGCGGGAAACUUGCCUCAAGAUGAGAUCUCACUGGAACCUUGAGUUCCCUAAAGGGCCGUCGAAGACUACGACGUUGAUAGGUUGGGUGUGUAAGCGCUGUGAGGCGUUGAGCUAACCAAUACUAAUUGCCCGUGAGGCUUGACCAU
This 3099-nucleotide ribosomal RNA is filed under the name Pseudomonas amygdali. RNAcentral describes it as "bacterial LSU rRNA". It matches the Rfam family "Bacterial large subunit ribosomal RNA". The record is from RNAcentral. Lineage: Bacteria; Pseudomonadati; Pseudomonadota; Gammaproteobacteria; Pseudomonadales; Pseudomonadaceae.